AUGCAGGUCGUGGUGGUACUUCUCGAGGUAGUAGUAGGAGAAGGCCGGGUCGUGUGCUCGUCAGCAUGCAGCGAAAAACGCUGUUGCUGCUCGAAGAAGGCGGCGACGCGCUUGCGGCCGAACGGAGGGAGGAAGAGGCGCGGGCGCGAGGUGACGAAGCAGCAUCUGCAAGGGCAGAGCAAGGUCGGCACUGCGGCGCAGCUCGACGGCGGCAAGGCAGCAAGGGGAACCGGGCAGGAGGAAGGAGAGGCCGGCGGCUGCGUACAAGAAGCAACCGAGGCGCGGCUUCGGUCCAUGGCGACGGCGAGGCGGGUCAAGGGUGGCGGCGCUCCUGGUUCCAGCGGGAGGAAGAACAUCCCAGUCGCCGCUCGGGAGGCGCGAAGCAGAGGGAGGAGAGGAGGCUCCAGCUUGGUCGUGGCCUCGUCGGCCGGCGAGGUGGAGCUCCGGCAGUGGCUCGAUGGACAGAGGAGCUGGGUGGCUAUGCGCGGGAUCCAGAGAGAGAGAGAGAUGGGGGUCGCGUGGGAUCGAGAGGAAAGGGGUCGAGGGGAUCGGGAUCGAGCCGAGGGCUCUGCGGCACUGAGGAGAAGGGUUCGGCUGCACUAG
This 603-nucleotide ribosomal RNA is filed under the name Triticum aestivum (bread wheat). Its description in RNAcentral is "partial small subunit ribosomal RNA". The record is from RNAcentral. Lineage: Eukaryota; Viridiplantae; Streptophyta; Magnoliopsida; Poales; Poaceae.